RNAcentral lists this ribosomal RNA (2902 nucleotides) under Citrobacter freundii. Its description in RNAcentral is "23S ribosomal RNA". It matches the Rfam family "Bacterial large subunit ribosomal RNA". Lineage: Bacteria; Pseudomonadati; Pseudomonadota; Gammaproteobacteria; Enterobacterales; Enterobacteriaceae. The record is from RNAcentral.
GGUUAAGCGACUAAGCGUACACGGUGGAUGCCCUGGCAGUCAGAGGCGAUGAAGGACGUGCUAAUCUGCGAUAAGCGUCGGUAAGGUGAUAUGAACCGUUAUAACCGGCGAUUUCCGAAUGGGGAAACCCAGUGUGAUUCGUCACACUAUCAUUGCGUGAAUACAUAGCGUAAUGAAGCGAACCGGGGAACUGAAACAUCUAAGUACCCCGAGGAAAAGAAAUCAACCGAGAUUCCCCCAGUAGCGGCGAGCGAACGGGGAGCAGCCCAGAGUCUGAAUCAGCUUGUGUGUUAGUGGAACGGUCUGGAAAGUCCGACGGUACAGGGUGAUAGUCCCGUACACCAAAAUGCACAGGUUGUGAACUCGAAGAGUAGGGCGGGACACGUGGUAUCCUGUCUGAAUAUGGGGGGACCAUCCUCCAAGGCUAAAUACUCCUGACUGACCGAUAGUGAACCAGUACCGUGAGGGAAAGGCGAAAAGAACCCCGGCGAGGGGAGUGAAAAAGAACCUGAAACCGUGUACGUACAAGCAGUGGGAGCCUCUUUAUGGGGUGACUGCGUACCUUUUGUAUAAUGGGUCAGCGACUUAUAUUCUGUAGCAAGGUUAACCGUAUAGGGGAGCCGAAGGGAAACCGAGUCUUAACUGGGCGUUAAGUUGCAGGGUAUAGACCCGAAACCCGGUGAUCUAGCCAUGGGCAGGUUGAAGGUUGGGUAACACUAACUGGAGGACCGAACCGACUAAUGUUGAAAAAUUAGCGGAUGACUUGUGGCUGGGGGUGAAAGGCCAAUCAAACCGGGAGAUAGCUGGUUCUCCCCGAAAGCUAUUUAGGUAGCGCCUCGUGAAUUCAUCUUCGGGGGUAGCACUGUUUCGGCUAGGGGGUCAUCCCGACUUACCAACCCGAUGCAAACUGCGAAUACCGAAGAAUGUUAUCACGGGAGACACACGGCGGGUGCUAACGUCCGUCGUGAAGAGGGAAACAACCCAGACCGCCAGCUAAGGUCCCAAAGUCAUGGUUAAGUGGGAAACGAUGUGGGAAGGCACAGACAGCCAGGAUGUUGGCUUAGAAGCAGCCAUCAUUUAAAGAAAGCGUAAUAGCUCACUGGUCGAGUCGGCCUGCGCGGAAGAUGUAACGGGGCUAAACCAUGCACCGAAGCUGCGGCAGCGACACUAUGUGUUGUUGGGUAGGGGAGCGUUCUGUAAGCCGUUGAAGGUGUAUCGUGAGGUAUGCUGGAGGUAUCAGAAGUGCGAAUGCUGACAUAAGUAACGAUAAUGCGGGUGAAAAACCCGCACGCCGGAAGACCAAGGGUUCCUGUCCAACGUUAAUCGGGGCAGGGUGAGUCGACCCCUAAGGCGAGGCCGAAAGGCGUAGUCGAUGGGAAACAGGUUAAUAUUCCUGUACUUGGUGUUACUGCGAAGGGGGGACGGAGAAGGCUAUGUUAGCCGGGCGACGGUUGUCCCGGUUUAAGCAUGUAGGCGGAGGUUCCAGGUAAAUCCGGUACCUUUUAACGCUGAGGUGUGAUGACGAGGCACUACGGUGCUGAAGUAACAAAUGCCCUGCUUCCAGGAAAAGCCUCUAAGCAUCAGGUAACACGAAAUCGUACCCCAAACCGACACAGGUGGUCAGGUAGAGAAUACCAAGGCGCUUGAGAGAACUCGGGUGAAGGAACUAGGCAAAAUGGUGCCGUAACUUCGGGAGAAGGCACGCUGAUAUGUAGGUGAAGUGAUUUACUCAUGGAGCUGAAAUCAGUCGAAGAUACCAGCUGGCUGCAACUGUUUAUUAAAAACACAGCACUGUGCAAACACGAAAGUGGACGUAUAUACGGUGUGACGCCUGCCCGGUGCCGGAAGGUUAAUUGAUGGGGUUAUCCGUAAGGAGAAGCUCUUGAUCGAAGCCCCGGUAAACGGCGGCCGUAACUAUAACGGUCCUAAGGUAGCGAAAUUCCUUGUCGGGUAAGUUCCGACCUGCACGAAUGGCGUAAUGAUGGCCAGGCUGUCUCCACCCGAGACUCAGUGAAAUUGAACUCGCUGUGAAGAUGCAGUGUACCCGCGGCAAGACGGAAAGACCCCGUGAACCUUUACUAUAGCUUGACACUGAACACUGGUCCUUGAUGUGUAGGAUAGGUGGGAGGCUUUGAAGUGUGGACGCCAGUCUGCAUGGAGAUCCUUGAAAUACCACCCUUUAAUGGCUGGUGUUCUAACGUGGACCCGUUACCCGGGUUGCGGACAGUGUCUGGUGGGUAGUUUGACUGGGGCGGUCUCCUCCUAAAGAGUAACGGAGGAGCACGAAGGUUAGCUAAUCCUGGUCGGACAUCAGGAGGUUAGUGCAAAGGCAUAAGCUAGCUUGACUGCGAGAGUGACGGCUCGAGCAGGUGCGAAAGCAGGUCUUAGUGAUCCGGUGGUUCUGAAUGGAAGGGCCAUCGCUCAACGGAUAAAAGGUACUCCGGGGAUAACAGGCUGAUACCGCCCAAGAGUUCAUAUCGACGGCGGUGUUUGGCACCUCGAUGUCGGCUCAUCACAUCCUGGGGCUGAAGUAGGUCCCAAGGGUAUGGCUGUUCGCCAUUUAAAGUGGUACGCGAGCUGGGUUUAGAACGUCGUGAGACAGUUCGGUCCCUAUCUGCCGUGGGCGCUGGAGAAUUGAGGGGGCUGCUCCUAGUACGAGAGGACCGGAGUGGACGCAUCACUGGUGUUCGGGUUGUCAUGCCAAUGGCAUUGCCCGGUAGCUAAAUGCGGAAGAGAUAAGUGCUGAAAGCAUCUAAGCACGAAACUUGCCCCGAGAUGAGUUCUCCCUGAGACUUUAAGUCUCCUGAAGGAACGUUGAAGACGACGACGUUGAUAGGUCGGGUGUGUAAGUGUAGCGAUACAUUGAGCUAACCGAUACUAAUGAACCGUGAGGCUUAACCUU